RNAcentral lists this ribosomal RNA (504 nucleotides) under uncultured bacterium. RNAcentral's name for it is "partial 16S ribosomal RNA". It matches the Rfam family "Bacterial small subunit ribosomal RNA", at positions 30 to 523 of the family's 1533-position model. The record is from RNAcentral.
AUUGAACGCUGGCGGCAGGCCUAACACAUGCAAGUCGAACGGUAGCACAGAGAGCUUGCUCUCGGGUGACGAGUGGCGGACGGGUGAGUAACGUCUGGGAAACUGCCCAAUGGAGGGGGAUAACUACUGGAAACGGUAGCUAAUACCGCAUAACGUCGCAAGACCAAAGUGGGGGACCUUCGGGCCUCACACCAUCGGAUGUGCCCAGAUGGGAUUAGCUAGUAGGUGGGGUAAUGGCUCACCUAGGCGACGAUCCCUAGCUGGUCUGAGAGGAUGACCAGCCACACUGGAACUGAGACACGGUCCAGACUCCUACGGGAGGCAGCAGUGGGGAAUAUUGCACAAUGGGCGCAAGCCUGAUGCAGCCAUGCCGCGUGUAUGAAGAAGGCCUUCGGGUUGUAAAGUACUUUCAGCGGGGAGGAAGGCGGUGGAGUUAAUAACUUCACCGAUUGACGUUACCCGCAGAAGAAGCACCGGCUAAUUCCGUGCCAGCCGCCGCGGUAA